CUCCUCCUCUUCCUAAUUCUCCUCCUCUGCCUCCUCCUUGUCCUCUCCCUCCCCCUUGUCCUCCUCGUCUUCCUUUUCUUCCUCCUCUUCUGUCCCAGGGCUUUCAAACUCUGGCUCUCCAACGACAUGGAAGAGUUAAAAGGAGGAACGCUGGCUCAGCCAAGCCCCGGAGACUCCUACUUGAUAUGGGCAGUUUAAAGCCACUUUCCCUUUAAAUUUUUCUGUGACAACUCUUUUCAUGGAGAAUGGAAAGACUCUCGUUAAGUGUUGCCGUUCAGAAGUGUUGGCGGUCGUUGCUAACAUGAGAUCCAACAAGAAAUGGUGAAAAUGCACAAUGCCUCAGGACGCCUUGAGGAAGGAGCAGCAUGUUGCUGCCGAGGGUGAACACACGUGGUCUCUGCGGAGAGGCGACAGAUCUCCCUGGGCGUCAGUCAUCCUGGGACUGGGUGUCGUGGAAGAAGGUGACACCAGGCAGAAACCAAGAGCAGGGGAGCUGCAGGCCGGCAUAAGAGCCCGUAUCAGAGCAGAGUGGCCCCUGAGCGGGGAGGGAGCCGGAGAUCACUGUUGGAGGAGGGCCCGGCACCUGCACCUGAGGACAUGAGUCUAAUAAAAGAGUAUAAAUAAUAUAAUAAAAGAGAGUAUAAUAAAAAAAUAAUUUAAAGAAAAAAAAAAAAAAAAAA
RNAcentral lists this long non-coding RNA (680 nucleotides) under Homo sapiens (human). RNAcentral describes it as "uncharacterized LOC101928932 (LOC101928932)". Lineage: Eukaryota; Metazoa; Chordata; Mammalia; Primates; Hominidae. The record is from RNAcentral.